Molecule: non-coding RNA, 31 nt
Filed under: Mus musculus (house mouse)
Lineage: Eukaryota; Metazoa; Chordata; Mammalia; Rodentia; Muridae
Source: RNAcentral
UACUUUGAAGUCCCUUCCUCGGGAAGAUUGA